AGGACGAACGCUGGCGGCGUGCUUAACACAUGCAAGUCGAGCGGUAAGGCUCCUUCGGGAGUACACGAGCGGCGAACGGGUGAGUAACACGUGAGCAAUCUGCCCUUCACAUCGGAACAACCAUUGGAAACGAUGGCUAAUACCGAAUACGACUUCGGACCGCAUGGUCUGAAGUGGAAAGCUCCGGCGGUGAAGGAUGAGCUCGCGGCCUAUCAGCUUGUUGGUGAGGUAAUAGCUCACCAAGGCGAUGACGGGUAGCCGGCCUGAGAGGGUGACCGGCCACACUGGGACUGAGACACGGCCCAGACUCCUACGGGAGGCAGCAGUGGGGAAUAUUGGACAAUGGGCGAAAGCCUGAUCCAGCAACGCCGCGUGAGGGAUGACGGCCUCGGUGUAAACGUCUUCUAGCGGGACGGAAGCGAAAGUAGACGGUACCCGACAGAAGAAGACACCGACCGAACCAACGUGCCAGCAGCCGCC
This 480-nucleotide ribosomal RNA is filed under the name uncultured soil bacterium. RNAcentral's name for it is "bacterial SSU rRNA". It matches the Rfam family "Bacterial small subunit ribosomal RNA", at positions 26 to 519 of the family's 1533-position model. The record is from RNAcentral.